UACGAAGGUGGCAAGCGUUGUUCGGAUUUACUGGGCGUACAGGGAGCGUAGGCGGUUGGAUAAGCCCUCCGUGAAAUCUCCAGGCUUAACCUGGAAAGUGCAGAGGGGACUGUUCAGCCAGAGGAUGGGAGAGGAGCGCGGAAUUCCCGGUGUAGCGGUGAAAUGCGUAGAGAUCGGGAGGAAGGCCGGUGGCGAAGGCGGCGCUCUGGAACAUUUCUGACGCUGAGGCUCGAAAGCGUGGGGAGCAAACAGG
Molecule: ribosomal RNA, 253 nt
Filed under: uncultured bacterium
Lineage: Bacteria
Description: partial 16S ribosomal RNA
Rfam family: Bacterial small subunit ribosomal RNA
Source: RNAcentral